AUAAUACUCCCUCUGUUCAAAAAUACUUGUCAUCAAGAUGAAUAAGGGGAUGUAACUAGACGUAUUUUAGUUUUAAAUACAUCUUUUUUUAUUCAUUUUGAUGACAAGUAUUUUCAGAUGGAAGGAGUACUCU
This is a non-coding RNA of Triticum aestivum (bread wheat), 133 nucleotides long. The record is from Rfam. NCBI's taxonomy places the organism in Eukaryota, Viridiplantae, Streptophyta, Magnoliopsida, Poales, Poaceae.